AUUGAACGCUGGCGGAAUGCUUUACGCAUGCAAGUCGAGCGGCAGCGCGGGGCAACCUGGCGGCGAGCGGCGAACGGGUGAGUAAUGCAUCGGAACGUACCCAGUCGUGGGGGAUAACUGUCCGAAAGGACAGCUAAUACCGCAUACGUCCUGAGGGAGAAAGCGGGGGAUCGCAAGACCUCGCGCGAUUGGAGCGGCCGAUGCCGGAUUAGCUAGUUGGUAGGGUAAAGGCCUACCAAGGCGACGAUCCGUAGCUGGUCUGAGAGGACGACCAGCCACACUGGAACUGAGACACGGUCCAGACUCCUACGGGAGGCAGCAGUGGGGAAUUUUGGACAAUGGGGGCAACCCUGAUCCAGCCAUUCCGCGUGAGUGAAGAAGGCCUGGUUGUAACUAGCUUUGUAGGAGAA
RNAcentral lists this ribosomal RNA (410 nucleotides) under uncultured bacterium. RNAcentral's name for it is "bacterial SSU rRNA". It matches the Rfam family "Bacterial small subunit ribosomal RNA", at positions 29 to 445 of the family's 1533-position model. The record is from RNAcentral.